Molecule: long non-coding RNA, 2142 nt
Organism: Balaenoptera ricei (Rice's whale)
Lineage: Eukaryota; Metazoa; Chordata; Mammalia; Artiodactyla; Balaenopteridae
Exons: 4
Source: RefSeq, a predicted model, not a curated record
GCCCUGGCGCCGGUUCUGGGAGAAGUCGGCGCGGAACCUCCAGAGGCCGUCCAGUUCCUUGCGCUCCCGCGACCGGCUCUCCCGGGGGUAGAGCAUCCCGCCCUGCAGCAGCGCCAGCCCGCAGCCCCAGAGCAGCGGGCCGAGCACGGCCCAGGCGCCCGCCAGCCCCCGGCGCAUGGUUCCCGCGGGCCCCUAGCUGCCAGCAGCCCCGCGCCCGAUGCCGUGAGCGCGGGAGGCGGGGCCGGGGUGGAGCCUGAAGUCACGUGUCCCGCCCCCGCGCCAUCUUCGUUGAAGGCGGUUCCGCGGCCAGGUUUCCGCCGGAGGCCCGCUCCCACCAGGCCGUUCCAGGCCCGCCUUCCUGACCGAGAGCGGCGGCAGGGGAGGGUCCGCGGGGAGCCCGAGCUCCACCCCGGGCCCCGAAGGGCGGUGGUCGCAGGCUCCGCGCCCGCGAGGUCACUGCCGUCCGCCGCCCUCCCCCGCCCUCCCAUCCCCGGCUGCUAGCGCCCAGGGCGGCUGGUCCAGGGACGCGGGCCGCAGCGAAAUCCGGGAGACGGCCGGGUUACCCACGAUGCUUCAAGGAGGCCGACCUGGGACACCUCCACUCGCUUAUGCUUGCGGGACACCGGAUUUUGGUGAGAUUUGUAUAGACGAGGCCUCUGCAUCUCUGCUGGCUCUGGGCACCCACCGUUAUUGAAUGCUUACAUGUCCUAGGCCUGGCCUCGGGCUCUUUGCAGACUCAGUGAGACCAUCCCUCCCUUGACUGCAGCACGGGCAGGCCCCUCUGGCACCACCUGUCCGUGGCCCUCACCUCACGGGCAGGAACAAGCACAUACCCCCUCCCUCUGCCCCACGGCCUCUGGACCCACCCACACUUGCCUCCUCUCAAGAUCACCCUCCUGGCAUCCCAGCCCUGAGCUUAGGGGCCUCGGGGAGAAGAGGCGUGUCUUGCCUGCAGUGUAGAGAUGACGCCAGUGGCCACCUGGAGGACGGCGCUCAUGGUGUUGGACACUUCAAACACAGCUUCCUUGUCCUCCUGGGAGGCACGUGGCAGGAGGCACCAUUAUUUGCUUGUCAUGCAGACAGCAACGCUGUGAACUGGGCACCAAUACUAUCCUGCUACAGAGAGGAAAGACUGAGGCACAGAGCAGAUCUGUACCUUGCCCUUGCUGAGAGUGGCAGAGCCUGGAAUGCACCUCGGCAGCCGGAAGUCGAAGCCCUGCUCUAAACCCCACAGGCCACCAGGACCUCUCUGCUGGCUCCGCUGUUCUGAACAUUUGCUGCAGGGACAAGUGAGGAGGCACUUGAGGGGCCCCAUCAGUCUCAAAUUACCUGCAUCUCCCUCCCCCAGCUUGGGGUGGGGCCUAAGGUCCCAACCCCCCACUCCUCUGGAGAGCACCCCGGACACACCGUUAUCAUUGGCCUUCUAGGAGGUCACUAGCUGACCCUCUGCCCCCCAGGAGCCAAGGGCAGAGGGAUGGGACAGAGACACCUCUGUUUUGAAAGAGGGCAUAGGUCAGGGCAUGGGACAGAUGGGGGAGGGAGCGCAGAAUGCCUGAGGGGCAGUCCUAGUGCCCAGUGAGCCAAGGACAGGAGGGGAGUGGUCUGGGGUGGAGAUGGGAAUGUUACUUCACUGGCAUCUUUUCUGUGGAGGGUGGUUUACAGUGGCCACUGGGGACAUAUGUUCUCCUCUGUCUCCCUGCAAUGUCCCAGACCUCAGUUAGCCACCUGACCAUAGGGGUGUUAUAUUACCUCUCUAACCUUCAGGAUUGCCCCUUUAUAAAAUAGAAAUAAUAAUAGCAUCUAUCUGAUGGAGUUGUUAGAUUAAGCCAUUAGAUUAAGCUAACUGCAUACAUAGCACAGUGCCUGGUACUCAGUAAGUUCUAGGUAUUGCUAAGGGAGGGGCCGAGGGCUGCCAGGGUCAGGGUGUGCCUUAGCUCCACUCCUCACUCCUGUGUGCACCCCCGGGCCCUCCACCGUGCUCUGGCCCCAGGCUGUGAGCUGACCCCUCAGUGCCCAGCAGCCUUGGCUGCCAGAGGACUCUGCCCUGCAGAUGUAGCCUCUGCCCCCACUCAGCCUUUUGAGCUGGACCUGCCCCUUACCCCCUGCUGCCCCGCCAAGCCUAGAUCUCCAGCAAAGCACCAC